AUACUUACCUGGCAGUGGAGACACCAUGAUCAUGAAGGUGGUUUUCCCAGGGCGAGGCUUAUCCAUUGCACUCCGGAUAUGCUGACCCCUGCGAUUUCCCCAAAUGUGGGAAACUCGACUGCAUAAUUUGUGGUAGUGGGGGACUGCGUUCGCACUUUCCCCUG
This 164-nucleotide small nuclear RNA is filed under the name Aotus nancymaae (Ma's night monkey). RNAcentral's name for it is "U1 spliceosomal RNA (ENSANAG00000002742.1)". It matches the Rfam family "U1 spliceosomal RNA". Rfam says of the family: U1 is a small nuclear RNA (snRNA) component of the spliceosome (involved in pre-mRNA splicing). Its 5' end forms complementary base pairs with the 5' splice junction, thus defining the 5' donor site of an intron. The record is from Rfam by way of RNAcentral. Lineage: Eukaryota; Metazoa; Chordata; Mammalia; Primates; Aotidae.